AUAGAAGUGAUGAUUUUUUCCUAGAUGAACGACGUUGAUAUUACUGUGCGAUUUUGUUCUCAUUAGAGAAAUCAAGCCGAUUAAUUUGAUCCAU
Non-coding RNA from Lupinus angustifolius (narrow-leaved blue lupine), 94 nucleotides. The record is from Rfam. NCBI's taxonomy places the organism in Eukaryota, Viridiplantae, Streptophyta, Magnoliopsida, Fabales, Fabaceae.